AUGAACUUUGUGCUCCCACGGCGCGGCCCAAAACCAAAGGGCUCAAUGUCUCCCCCUGGCGGCGGAGGGCGGCGCUGCAGCUCCUGCUCUGCUCGGAUCCACAGAGUCCCGUUAUGGGGGUGGGGGGUUCAUUGCGGGGGGGGGGGGUUUAUUUGGGGUCCCCCCCCCUCCUCAGCUCUUUUCUUUUUGCUUUUUUUUUUUUGUCCUUUUUUCCCAUUUUUUCCUCACAUUUUUUGCUUUUUUUUCAUGUUUUUUUUUCUCCUUUUUUUCCUCGUUUUUUUUCCUCUUUUUUUGAUCCAUUUUUCCUCCAUUUUUGAUGCAUUUUCUGCUCCUUCUUUUCCCUUUUUCUUCCUCUUUUUUUUUGCUCCUUUUUCUCCAUUUUGCCUUUUUCCACCUUUUUUCCUCUUUUUUUUCUCCUAUUUUCUCCAUUUUUGCUUUAUUUUCCUCCAUUUUCUCCUUUUUUUCCUCUUUUUCUCCUCCUAUUUUCUCCAUUUUUCUUCAUUUUCCUCCAUUUUCUCCUUUCUUUCCUCCUUUUUGCCUCCAUUUUUCCUCCAUUUUCUUCCAUUUUUUCUCCUUCUUUUCACUCUUUUUCCUUUUUUCCUCCUUUUUUCCCUCCUUUUUUCCCUUUUUUCCCCAUUUUCCCCCCUUUUUCCUGCUUUUUUCCUCCAUUUUUCCUCUUUUUUAUCCCCGAUUUUUCUUCCUUUUUUCCUCUUCUUUCCCAUUUUCUCCUUUUUUUCCCUCCUUUUUUUCUCUUUUUUUCUCCUUCUUUUCCCCAUUUUCCUUUAUUUUUUCUCCUAUUUCUUUCAUAUUUUCUCCCUUUUUCCCCAUUUCCUCCUUUUUUUCCUCUUUUUUUCCUUCUAUUUUCUCCUUCUUUCCUCUUUUUCCCCCAUUUUUUCCUCCAUUUUUUCUUCACCUUUUCCCAUUUCUCUCAAUUUUCCCCCUCUUUCCCCCCCAAUUCUCCUUUUUAUCUCAUUUUCUCCCUCUUUUCUCUUUUUUCUCCUAUUUCCUCCUAUUUUCCUGCUUUUUUUUCUCUAUUUUUCCUCCAUUUUUUCUCCUCCUUUUUCCCUUUUCCUCCUUUUUUUCUUUUUUCCUCAUUUUUCCACCAUUUUCUCCUUUUUCCCUCUUUUUUUGCUCCUUUUUCUCCAUUUUCUCCUCUUUUUUCUCCUUUUUUCUCCCUUUUUUCUUCCUUUUUCUCCCUUUUUUCUUCUUUUUCUCCUCUUUUUCUCCAUUUUUCCUCUUUUUCUCCAUUUUUUCCUCCUUUCUCCAUUUUUCCUCCUUUCUUUCCACCUUUUUCCUCCAUUUUUUCUCUCUUUUUCUCCUUUUUUUUUGGCAUUUCUUCCCUUCUUCCCUUUUUUCUUCCCUUCUUCGUUCAAAAUCUCCUUUUAUUUUUUUGUGUCCUUUUUUCUUCUUUUUUUGCCCAUUUUUUGUUCCGUUUUUCUUUUCCAUCCCGUUCUGAGAAUCGACUUUCAUUGACUUUGGCAUCGUGGGGGGGGGGGCGG
RNAcentral lists this long non-coding RNA (1499 nucleotides) under Coturnix japonica (Japanese quail). Its description in RNAcentral is "lncRNA (ENSCJPG00005004997.1)". The record is from RNAcentral. Lineage: Eukaryota; Metazoa; Chordata; Aves; Galliformes; Phasianidae.